Molecule: transfer RNA, 66 nt
Filed under: Uroteuthis chinensis
Lineage: Eukaryota; Metazoa; Mollusca; Cephalopoda; Myopsida; Loliginidae
Description: tRNA-Ser
Source: RNAcentral
AAGUUUUUAAGUGAAUCGAACACUUUUAAAAAGCUUUCAAAACUUUUAUUUACCCAGUAAAAACCU